This 253-nucleotide ribosomal RNA is filed under the name uncultured bacterium. RNAcentral describes it as "partial 16S ribosomal RNA". It matches the Rfam family "Bacterial small subunit ribosomal RNA", at positions 524 to 776 of the family's 1533-position model. The record is from RNAcentral.
UACGUAGGGUGCGAGCGUUGUCCGGAAUUAUUGGGCGUAAAGAGCUUGUAGGCGGUUUGUCGCGUCUGCCGUGAAAAUCCGGGGCUCAACCCCGGACUUGCGGUGGGUACGGGCAGACUAGAGUGCGGUAGGGGAGACUGGAAUUCCGGGUGUAGCGGUGGAAUGCGUAGAGAUCCGGAAGAACACCGGAGGCGAAGGCGGCUUGCUGGGCGUGAUCUGACGCUGAGGCGCGAAAGCGUGGGGAGCGAACAGG